Herpailurus yagouaroundi (jaguarundi) is the source of this 558-nucleotide non-coding RNA. NCBI's taxonomy places the organism in Eukaryota, Metazoa, Chordata, Mammalia, Carnivora, Felidae. The record is from the annotation of a RefSeq genome assembly.
AGACUCUACACUCUUCAGAGUAGGGGUGAAGGCACGUCAGCGACCAGACAAGGAGUCAUGAAGAGACAGCGGGGAGCCCUGCUGGGGCUUCUGUGGCUGCAGGUUUGCUGGGUGAGAGGGAUGGACGUGGAGCAGACACCUGCAGCCCUGAGCCUCCAGGAGGGAGCCAGCUCUACCCUGAGGUGCAAUUUUUCCAGCUCGGUGACCUACGUGCAGUGGUUCCGACAGAACCCCGGGGGCGGCGGCCUCACCCGCCUUUUUUACAUCGCUUCAGGGAUGAAGCAGGAUGGGAGGUUGAACUGCACGGUGAACACUAAGGACCGGCACAGCAGCCUGCACAUCAGGGCCUCCCAGCAGGAAGACUCAGCCACCUAUCUGUGUGCUGUGGAGGCACAGUGCUCCCUGCUGCUCUGCAGCCUGUCCCCAAACUGCAGCUGGGCUCCCAGCCCAGCCUCCUCCACCAGGAAGCCUUCCUGUCUCAGUUUCAUUUGCACAGCCUUAUGUUUCGUUAUUCAUUUCGUCAGUCUUUUAAUUCUGUCUAUAAUUAUAAACUUGUAA